This is a long non-coding RNA of Etheostoma spectabile (orangethroat darter), 140 nucleotides long. RefSeq lists it as uncharacterized. The transcript is spliced from 3 exons. The record is from RefSeq and is a predicted model, not a curated record. Lineage: Eukaryota; Metazoa; Chordata; Actinopteri; Perciformes; Percidae.
GUUCAGCAUAAAUUACCACGGCAAUUGAACCUGGUGACAAGUGAUCCACCAUUAUGAUCCAGAAAGCCCUGGGUUGAACCUGAAGUUACCUCGUUAACGCCAAAUCUUGCUUCGUGGUACACGCCCAAGAUCCAGCAAUG